Gallus gallus (chicken) is the source of this 702-nucleotide long non-coding RNA. NCBI's taxonomy places the organism in Eukaryota, Metazoa, Chordata, Aves, Galliformes, Phasianidae. The record is from Ensembl.
AGAUCACUCCUCUCAGAGCCCUUCUGUGAGCCCAGGACACAGUGAUGAUCCCAACAAUGUGGAGCAUUCUAAGGAGGGCCAUGCAGAUUCACAGUCUGGACUGGCAUUCGUGGCUGGUGCUGUGAUCCUAACACAGAAGGUGAUCUCCUGCAAUCAGAACCACUGCUGAAUGCACAGCUGUCCUCCAGGUAUCCUACCGUCACCUUCAAGUUUGCACCGACUGAUGAUUCUCUUCUUGGAAUUAGCCUACUUAUAUCCAUUCUGCUUUGGUCAGCUUUAUUUCUAGACAAAGACUUUGUUGCUCUGUUUGUUUGCUUGUAUUUGAAUUACCAAAUUUUUGCUCUGAUAAUCAUCAGCUGUCAGAAAUGAAAAUGUAUGGGAAAAUAUAUGGGAACUAGUUUCCAGUCUGUCAUCUUUCUGAAAAGCUACAAAUCUGUUGCAAAAAUUAUUAAGUUGAAUAUGAUUUGCUCUGGAUGUAGAGACACGUCUCAAAAUAAAGAACAUUCUCACUCCACCUACUUUGAUUCCAUAAUUAGCGCAUGGACAGCAUCACUGAACAGCUGUGGUAGUCAUCUGUGUAGGGCUGGCAGAAAUGGCCUAGGACCUAUGGAAAAUCUAUAUCCUUUCAAAUUGGUGGCCAGAGGCAUGGGAAAUACCCAAGAGCAUGUUCUGUGAUGUUGCAUCUAUGUUUAUUUGCACUUC